UUAACUUGUUAGAUCAUAAAAAAAUUCUUUCCAAAAAAUAUACUGGAAACAUGUGGAUGUGCAGUUAUAAUUAAAAAUGAAAGCAAAACAGCCUUCCCCCAAAACAGAGGAAGCCCCACAAGUCAAAGCUACAGCUAAACUGAUGAGAGCCAAAAAUAGGGGGUUACUGAAAAGUCUUGGAAUAUGGUCACAUCACUGAUGG
This is a non-coding RNA of Rattus norvegicus (Norway rat), 202 nucleotides long. NCBI's taxonomy places the organism in Eukaryota, Metazoa, Chordata, Mammalia, Rodentia, Muridae. The record is from Rfam.